This 468-nucleotide ribosomal RNA is filed under the name uncultured bacterium. RNAcentral's name for it is "partial 16S ribosomal RNA". It matches the Rfam family "Bacterial small subunit ribosomal RNA", at positions 28 to 507 of the family's 1533-position model. The record is from RNAcentral.
GACGAACGCUGGCGGCGUGCUUAACACAUGCAAGUCGAACGGAAAGGCCCUGCUUUUGUGGGGUGCUCGAUUGGCGAACGGGUGAGUAACACGUGAGUAACCUGCCCUUGACUUUGGGAUAACUUCAGGAAACUGGGGCUAAUACCGGAUAGGAGCUCCUGCUGCAUGGUGGGGGUUGGAAAUUUUCGGCGGUUGGGGAUGGACUCGCGGCUUAUCAGCUUGUUGGUGGGGUAGUGGCUUACCAAGGCUUUGACGGGUAGCCGGCCUGAGAGGGUGACCGGCCACAUUGGGACUGAGAUACGGCCCAGACUCCUACGGGAGGCAGCAGUGGGGAAUAUUGCACAAUGGGCGGAAGCCUGAUGCAGCAACGCCGCGGGCGGGAUGACGGCCUUCGGGUUGUAAACCGCUUUCGCCUGUGACGAAGCGUGAGUGACGGUAAUGGGUAAAGAAGCACCGGCUAACUACGUG